GCCCUUAGAGUUUGAUCCUGGCUCAGGACGAACGCUGGCGGCGUGCCUAAUACAUGCAAGUCGAACGAAGCUUUCUUUCACCGAAUGCUUGCAUUCACCGAAAGAAGCUUAGUGGCGAACGGGUGAGUAACACGUAGGCAACCUGCCCAAAAGAGGGGGAUAACACUUGGAAACAGGUGCUAAUACCGCAUAACCAUGAACACCGCAUGAUGUUCAUGUAAAAGACGGCUUUUGCUGUCACUUUUGGAUGGGCCUGCGGCGUAUUAACUUGUUGGUGGGGUAACGGCCUACCAAGGUGAUGAUACGUAGCCGAACUGAGAGGUUGAUCGGCCACAUUGGGACUGAGACACGGCCCAAACUCCUACGGGAGGCAGCAGUAGGGAAUCUUCCACAAUGGACGAAAGUCUGAUGGAGCAACGCCGCGUGAAUGAAGAAGGCCUUCGGGUCGUAAAAUUCUGUUGUCAGAGAAGAACGUGCGUGAGAGUAACUGUUCACGUAUUGACGGUAUCUGACCAGAAAGCCACGGCUAACUACGUGCCAGCAGCCGCGGUAAUACGUAGGUGGCGAGCGUUGUCCGGAUUUAUUGGGUGUAAAGGGAACGCAGGCGGUCUUUUAAGUCUGAUGUGAAAGCCUUCGGCUUAACCGAAGUAGUGCAUUGGAAACUGGAAGACUUGAGUGCAGAAGAGGAGAGUGGAACUCCAUGUGUAGCGGUGAAAUGCGUAGAUAUAUGGAAGAACACCAGUGGCGAAAGCGGCUCUCUGGUCUGUAACUGACGCUGAGGUUCGAAAGCGUGGGUAGCAAACAGGAUUAGAUACCCUGGUAGUCCACGCCGUAAACGAUGAGUGCUAAGUGUUGGAGGGUUUCCGCCCUUCAGUGCUGCAGCUAACGCAUUAAGCACUCCGCCUGGGGAGUACGGUCGCAAGACUG
RNAcentral lists this ribosomal RNA (927 nucleotides) under uncultured bacterium. RNAcentral's name for it is "bacterial SSU rRNA". It matches the Rfam family "Bacterial small subunit ribosomal RNA", at positions 1 to 896 of the family's 1533-position model. The record is from RNAcentral.